This 725-nucleotide ribosomal RNA is filed under the name Duganella radicis. RNAcentral describes it as "bacterial SSU rRNA". It matches the Rfam family "Bacterial small subunit ribosomal RNA", at positions 67 to 787 of the family's 1533-position model. The record is from RNAcentral. Lineage: Bacteria; Pseudomonadati; Pseudomonadota; Betaproteobacteria; Burkholderiales; Oxalobacteraceae.
CGGCAGCACGGAGCUUGCUCUGGUGGCGAGUGGCGAACGGGUGAGUAAUAUAUCGGAACGUACCCAAGAGUGGGGGAUAACGUAGCGAAAGUUACGCUAAUACCGCAUACGAUCUAAGGAUGAAAGCAGGGGACCGCAAGGCCUUGUGCUCCUGGAGCGGCCGAUAUCUGAUUAGCUAGUUGGUGGGGUAAAGGCCCACCAAGGCAUCGAUCAGUAGCUGGUCUGAGAGGACGACCAGCCACACUGGAACUGAGACACGGUCCAGACUCCUACGGGAGGCAGCAGUGGGGAAUUUUGGACAAUGGGGGCAACCCUGAUCCAGCAAUGCCGCGUGAGUGAAGAAGGCCUUCGGGUUGUAAAGCUCUUUUGUCAGGGAAGAAAAGGCUGUGGCUAAUAUCCACGGCUCAUGACGGUACCUGAAGAAUAAGCACCGGCUAACUACGUGCCAGCAGCCGCGGUAAUACGUAGGGUGCAAGCGUUAAUCGGAAUUACUGGGCGUAAAGCGUGCGCAGGCGGUUUUGUAAGACUGUCGUGAAAUCCCCGGGCUCAACCUGGGAAUGGCGAUGGUGACUGCAAGGCUAGAGUUUGGCAGAGGGGGGUAGAAUUCCACGUGUAGCAGUGAAAUGCGUAGAUAUGUGGAGGAACACCGAUGGCGAAGGCAGCCCCCUGGGUCAAAACUGACGCUCAUGCACGAAAGCGUGGGGAGCAAACAGGAUUAGAUACCC